RNAcentral lists this ribosomal RNA (866 nucleotides) under uncultured crenarchaeote. RNAcentral describes it as "bacterial SSU rRNA". It matches the Rfam family "Archaeal small subunit ribosomal RNA", at positions 1 to 863 of the family's 1478-position model. The record is from RNAcentral. Lineage: Archaea; Thermoproteati; Thermoproteota.
UUCCGGUUGAUCCUGCCAGAUCCGACUGCUAUCCGGGUAAGACUAAGCCAUGCAAGUCGAAUGGAACAGCAUGUUCCAUGGCGAACUGCUCAGUAACAAGUGAUUAACUUACCCUUCAGUGGAGCAUAACCUCGGGAAACUGAGGCUAAUUCUCCAUAGUUGGAAAUGCCUGGAAGGGUUUUCCAUCAAAAGAUAUUCCCAAAUGCGGGAUGUUCACUGAAGGAUAGGAUCGCUUUCGAUUAUGGUAGUUGGUGAGGUAAUGGCUCACCAAGCCUAUGAUCGAUAAGGGCCGUGAGAGCGGUAGCCCUGAGAUGGAUACUGAGACAAUGAUCCAGGCCUUACGAGGCGCAGCAGGCGCGAAACCUUUACAAUGCACGAAAGUGUGAUAAGGUUACCCGGAGUGCUAAGAGAACAACUUUUAGCUGUUAUAGGUGUGUAAAUAACCCUAUGAGAAAGGAGAGGGCAAGGCUGGUGCCAGCCGCCGCGGUAAAACCAGCUCUUCAAGUGGUCGGGAAUAUUAUUGGGCUUAAAGUGUCCGUAGCCGGUUUGAUAAGUUCCUGGUUAAAUCUGGUAGCUUAACUAUCAGUUAGCUAGGAAUACUAUUUUACUAGAGGGUGGGAAAGGUCUGGGGUACUCCAGGGGUAGCGGUGAAAUGCGAUAAUCCUUGGGGGACCACCAGUGGCGAAGGCGCCAGACUGGAACACGCCUGACGGUGAGGGACGAAAGCCAGGGGAGCGAACGGGAUUAGAUACCCCGGUAGUCCUGGCCGUAACGAUGCGUGCUAGUGUUGAUAGCUAUGAGCUGUUCCAGUGCCGUAGGAACUGUAGCGCGCCGCCUGGGAGUACGCUCGCAGUAUGAACUAAGGA